Molecule: long non-coding RNA, 730 nt
Organism: Vidua chalybeata
Lineage: Eukaryota; Metazoa; Chordata; Aves; Passeriformes; Viduidae
Exons: 4
Source: RefSeq, a predicted model, not a curated record
GAGAGGGGAACAGCAUUCGAGGCACACUGGCACUUCUUUUUCACACCUGCAGAGAAACUGCUGUGUCUGCAAUCUCAUUUGCUUUUUCCAGUCUCAGGCAUACAGCAUAAUUUAAAAAAAAAAAAAUUAUUAUAUGUAAAAUUUAAUUUAUGUUUGGAAGUCUGGAACAGGCUUCAAAACUGAACGGGCGUAUCCUAAUUCUGUCCUAAGAGAAUGUGUUACCACCACGCUUGACUUGGAAUUAACCGUGGAAAGGAGACAGGACAAAGAUACUACUGCAGUUGGAACGUGCUACAGCCCGACGUUCCGUGUCAUCCAUUCCUGGUCUCUUGGUAUUCUGGUCUCUUGGUAUUGGCCUCUGGAAUACCUGAGAGGUUUUAGGAUUCUAUGAACACUGCACCCCUCUCUGGAAUAGCCGCUGUUCUGAAGGAGUAAAGCAACGAUGCAGACUGGUUACUGCCGUCAGCAGAGAAUACCAGAACUGUUAAUGACAAAGAGGAGCAAGAAACUCAUUCUUCAGCUUUUCUUCUUUCCAGCAAGUUCAGUCAGAGCAAAUUCUUUGGCAAAAAAAGAUCCAAGAGUAACAUACAGCAACUGGACUCUGUACAAGAAAUCUAUUAUACUGCCUGCUCACAAGUUGAGUAUAUUGCUGAUUUCAGAAAUAUCAGAAUGCCUAACUCUGGAUGCCUCAGGAAUAAACAAGAAUAAAUUUGUAUUCUACUAUGCUUGA